GAAAGUAUAGCUCAAGUGGUAGAGCACAUGCUUAUAGCAAGCAUGAGGUCCUGGGUUCAAUCCCCAGUACCUCCU
Molecule: transfer RNA, 75 nt
Filed under: Camelus bactrianus (Bactrian camel)
Lineage: Eukaryota; Metazoa; Chordata; Mammalia; Artiodactyla; Camelidae
Also listed under: 2 other names
Rfam family: tRNA
About the family: Transfer RNA (tRNA) molecules are approximately 80 nucleotides in length.
Source: Rfam by way of RNAcentral